UUAAGCGACUAAGCGUACACGGUGGAUGCCCUGGCAGUCAGAGGCGAUGAAGGACGUGCUAAUCUGCGAUAAGCGCCGGUAAGGUGAUAUGAACCGUUAUAACCGGCGAUUUCCGAAUGGGGAAACCCAGUGUGAUUCGUCACACUAUCAUUAACUGAAUCCAUAGGUUAAUGAGGCGAACCGGGGGAACUGAAACAUCUAAGUACCCCGAGGAAAAGAAAUCAACCGAGAUUCCCCCAGUAGCGGCGAGCGAACGGGGAGGAGCCCAGAGCCUGAAUCAGCAUGUGUGUUAGUGGAAGCGUCUGGAAAGGCGCGCGAUACAGGGUGACAGCCCCGUACACAAAAGCGCAUGUGCUGUGAGCUCGAUGAGUAGGGCGGGACACGUGGUAUCCUGUCUGAAUAUGGGGGGACCAUCCUCCAAGGCUAAAUACUCCUGACUGACCGAUAGUGAACCAGUACCGUGAGGGAAAGGCGAAAAGAACCCCGGCGAGGGGAGUGAAAAAGAACCUGAAACCGUGUACGUACAAGCAGUGGGAGCCCCACCACUAAGCCAGUGGUGAACUCCACAUACGCAUCCUUUGCUGAAGGCAAUGGUUAACGGAGCGAAAGCGACGUUCAACCGCAAAACAAGCAGAGGGGGCUUAGUGGUGGGGUGACUGCGUACCUUUUGUAUAAUGGGUCAGCGACUUAUAUUCUGUAGCAAGGUUAACCGAAUAGGGGAGCCGUAGGGAAACCGAGUCUUAACCGGGCGUUAAGUUGCAGGGUAUAGACCCGAAACCCGGUGAUCUAGCCAUGGGCAGGUUGAAGGUUGGGUAACACUAACUGGAGGACCGAACCGACUAAUGUUGAAAAAUUAGCGGAUGACCUGUGGCUGGGGGUGAAAGGCCAAUCAAACCGGGAGAUAGCUGGUUCUCCCCGAAAGCUAUUUAGGUAGCGCCUCGUGAAUUCAUCUCCGGGGGUAGAGCACUGUUUCGGCUAGGGGGCCAUCCCGGCUUACCAACCCGAUGCAAACUGCGAAUACCGGAGAAUGUUAUCACGGGAGACACACGGCGGGUGCUAACGUCCGUCGUGAAGAGGGAAACAACCCAGACCGCCAGCUAAGGUCCCAAAGUCAUGGUUAAGUGGGAAACGAUGUGGGAAGGCCCAGACAGCCAGGAUGUUGGCUUAGAAGCAGCCAUCAUUUAAAGAAAGCGUAAUAGCUCACUGGUCGAGUCGGCCUGCGCGGAAGAUGUAACGGGGCUAAACCAUGCACCGAAGCUGCGGCAGCGACACUAUGUGUUGUUGGGUAGGGGAGCGUUCUGUAAGCCUGCGAAGGUGGCCUGUGAGGGUUGCUGGAGGUAUCAGAAGUGCGAAUGCUGACAUAAGUAACGAUAAAGCGGGUGAAAAGCCCGCUCGCCGGAAGACCAAGGGUUCCUGUCCAACGUUAAUCGGGGCAGGGUGAGUCGACCCCUAAGGCGAGGCCGAAAGGCGUAGUCGAUGGGAAACGGGUUAAUAUUCCCGUACUUGGUGUUACUGCGAAGGGGGGACGGAGAAGGCUAUGUUGGCCGGGCGACGGUUGUCCCGGUUUAAGCGUGUAGGUGUGUGUUCCAGGUAAAUCCGGUUCACUUUAACACUGAGGCGUGACGACGAGGCACUACGGUGCUGAAGCAACAAAUGCCCUGCUUCCAGGAAAAGCCUCUAAGCAUCAGGUAACAUCAAAUCGUACCCCAAACCGACACAGGUGGUCAGGUAGAGAAUACCAAGGCGCUUGAGAGAACUCGGGUGAAGGAACUAGGCAAAAUGGUGCCGUAACUUCGGGAGAAGGCACGCUGACACGUAGGUGAAGUGAUUUACUCAUGGAGCUGAAGUCAGUCGAAGAUACCAGCUGGCUGCAACUGUUUAUUAAAAACACAGCACUGUGCAAACACGAAAGUGGACGUAUACGGUGUGACGCCUGCCCGGUGCCGGAAGGUUAAUUGAUGGGGUCAGCGCAAGCGAAGCUCCUGAUCGAAGCCCCGGUAAACGGCGGCCGUAACUAUAACGGUCCUAAGGUAGCGAAAUUCCUUGUCGGGUAAGUUCCGACCUGCACGAAUGGCGUAAUGAUGGCCAGGCUGUCUCCACCCGAGACUCAGUGAAAUUGAACUCGCUGUGAAGAUGCAGUGUACCCGCGGCAAGACGGAAAGACCCCGUGAACCUUUACUAUAGCUUGACACUGAACAUUGAGCCUUGAUGUGUAGGAUAGGUGGGAGGCUUUGAAGCGUGGACGCCAGUCUGCGUGGAGCCGACCUUGAAAUACCACCCUUUAAUGUUUGAUGUUCUAACGUGGACCCGUAAUCCGGGUUGCGGACAGUGUCUGGUGGGUAGUUUGACUGGGGCGGUCUCCUCCUAAAGAGUAACGGAGGAGCACGAAGGUUGGCUAAUCCUGGUCGGACAUCAGGAGGUUAGUGCAAUGGCAUAAGCCAGCUUGACUGCGAGCGUGACGGCGCGAGCAGGUGCGAAAGCAGGUCAUAGUGAUCCGGUGGUUCUGAAUGGAAGGGCCAUCGCUCAACGGAUAAAAGGUACUCCGGGGAUAACAGGCUGAUACCGCCCAAGAGUUCAUAUCGACGGCGGUGUUUGGCACCUCGAUGUCGGCUCAUCACAUCCUGGGGCUGAAGUAGGUCCCAAGGGUAUGGCUGUUCGCCAUUUAAAGUGGUACGCGAGCUGGGUUUAGAACGUCGUGAGACAGUUCGGUCCCUAUCUGCCGUGGGCGCUGGAGAACUGAGGGGGGCUGCUCCUAGUACGAGAGGACCGGAGUGGACGCAUCACUGGUGUUCGGGUUGUCAUGCCAAUGGCACUGCCCGGUAGCUAAAUGCGGAAGAGAUAAGUGCUGAAAGCAUCUAAGCACGAAACUUGCCCCGAGAUGAGUUCUCCCUGAGACUUUAGGUCUCCUGAAGGAACGUUGAAGACGACGACGUUGAUAGGCCGGGUGUGUAAGCGCAGCGAUGCGUUGAGCUAACCGGUACUAAUGAACCGUGAGGCUUAACCUU
This 3005-nucleotide ribosomal RNA is filed under the name Salmonella enterica subsp. enterica serovar Oslo. RNAcentral's name for it is "bacterial LSU rRNA". It matches the Rfam family "Bacterial large subunit ribosomal RNA". The record is from RNAcentral. Lineage: Bacteria; Pseudomonadati; Pseudomonadota; Gammaproteobacteria; Enterobacterales; Enterobacteriaceae.